AUUGAACGCUGGCGGCAGGCCUAACACAUGCAAGUCGAACGGUAACAGGAAGAAGCUUGCUUCUUUGCUGACGAGUGGCGGACGUGUGAGUAAUGUCUGGGAAACUGCCUGAUGGAGGGGGAUACCUACUGGAAACGGUAGCUAAUACCGCAUAACGUCGCAAGCCCAAAGAGGGGGACCUUCGGGCCUCUUGCCAUCGGAUGUGCCCAGAUGGGAUUAGCUAGUAGGUGGGGUAACGGCUCACCUAGGCGACGAUCCCUAGCUGGUCUGAGAGGAUGACCAGCCACACUGGAACUGAGACACGGUCCAGACUCCUACGGGAGGCAGCAGUGGGGAAUAUUGCACAAUGGGCGCAAGCCUGAUGCAGACAUGCCGCGUGUAUGAAGAAGGCCUUCGGGUUGUAAAGUACUUUCAGCGGGGAGGAAGGGAGUAAAGUUAAUACCUUUGCUCAUUGACGUUACCCGCAGAAGAAGCACCGGCUAACUCCGUG
This 490-nucleotide ribosomal RNA is filed under the name uncultured bacterium. RNAcentral's name for it is "partial 16S ribosomal RNA". It matches the Rfam family "Bacterial small subunit ribosomal RNA", at positions 30 to 507 of the family's 1533-position model. The record is from RNAcentral.